This 80-nucleotide microRNA precursor is filed under the name Pelodiscus sinensis (Chinese soft-shelled turtle). RNAcentral describes it as "miRNA (ENSPSIG00000019440.1)". Lineage: Eukaryota; Metazoa; Chordata; Testudines; Trionychidae. The record is from RNAcentral.
CUGAGGGCCUGAUCCAAAGCCUACUGAUGAUGGAGGAAGUCUUUCCAUUGACUUCAGUGGACUUUGGAUCAGACUCUUCA